This is a long non-coding RNA of Ornithodoros turicata, 906 nucleotides long. RefSeq lists it as uncharacterized. Lineage: Eukaryota; Metazoa; Arthropoda; Arachnida; Ixodida; Argasidae. The transcript is spliced from 4 exons. The record is from RefSeq and is a predicted model, not a curated record.
CGUGCAGAGACUUGUUAACGGUCUGUUGGACCGCUGAAUAUUAUUUUCUCCCAACAGUAACGUUUUUCAGCAUGCUGAGGCGUAAUGAAUGCGACGACUGCAAGUCAUAUAGCUGCGUGUCCUACCACUAUGUACUCAAGAAUAGUCUGGCUUUAAUCGCACGCACUGCAGAUGACGAAGGUGAUAAUUUCCCCUGAAAGGCCAGCAUAGCUUGGCAUGACAUUUAAGUGACAAACUGUGAAGGUGGUGUGAAGGAGGUCCCCUGCCCUGGUAAGUUUCAGUGGGGUAGGUACUACUGCUGUUCUGUAUUAAUAUUUCAUUCAUAUGUAUCCCGUUGAUCAUAUGUGGUGUCAGUGUUGAGUUCUAAUGCUGUUGUUAGUAAGUUUCAGAUUGACCAGUGGUGUGCACAGCACAGUGGAAAAGACGAUGAAAUAGCGCUGCUCCACCUCCACAAAGGAAGAAAGUACUAUGCAAAUUGCAAGGAAGAGAAGGGCAACAGUUGAACAAAAUGAUUAUUUCACAGCAGAAGUAAUUUAUGUCUUUGCUCAUCUGGUGAGGGAGAUCAAUUUGACCUGUUCACUUGUCGGUGUCGCUUAAGACAAAAAUGAUCUAUAUCUGACAAAAAUGCUCGAGAAACCCAUUCAAGUUCCAGUCCUGCUGUAUCACGGCGAAGGGACGUGCCUGUCCAGUAAAUGACCGCAUUGAAACAUCACGAAGACUUCAACCUGAAGUAUGUUGCAUUGGUUAGGGAACGCUUUAGGUGCUGUUAAUCACUUUAGAUCCUAACUGUUUGUUUGUGUUGUUUCUAGGCAUAUGAUUAUGUUCCAUGUACAUAGCGUGUAAUGUGCAUUGUAAUGUUCAAUUUCUGCUCUGUAUCAGAGGCACAAUAAAUGUAUGUUUUUUAAA